GUGCUCAUUUCAGUGGCACAUACACUAAAGUUGGAACGAUACAGAGAAGCUUAGUGUGGACCCUGCACAAGGAUGACACGCCGAUUUGUGAAGCGUUCCACAUUUUU
This is a small nuclear RNA of Echinops telfairi (small Madagascar hedgehog), 107 nucleotides long. The record is from RefSeq and is a predicted model, not a curated record. NCBI's taxonomy places the organism in Eukaryota, Metazoa, Chordata, Mammalia, Afrosoricida, Tenrecidae.